Molecule: ribosomal RNA, 252 nt
Filed under: uncultured bacterium
Lineage: Bacteria
Description: partial 16S ribosomal RNA
Rfam family: Bacterial small subunit ribosomal RNA
Source: RNAcentral
CGUAGGGUGCAAGCGUUGUCCGGAAUUAUUGGGCGUAAAGAGCUCGUAGGCGGUCUGUCGCGUCGGCUGUGAAACUCGGGGCUCAACCCCGAGCCUGCAGUCGAUACGGGCAGACUAGAGUGCUGUAGGGGAGACUGGAAUUCCUGGUGUAGCGGUGAAAUGCGCAGAUAUCAGGAGGAACACCGGUGGCGAAGGCGGGUCUCUGGGCAGUAACUGACGCUGAGGAGCGAAAGCGUGGGAGCAAACAGGAUU